Molecule: long non-coding RNA, 1974 nt
Organism: Diospyros lotus (date-plum)
Lineage: Eukaryota; Viridiplantae; Streptophyta; Magnoliopsida; Ericales; Ebenaceae
Exons: 3
Source: RefSeq, a predicted model, not a curated record
UCUUCCAGUCAACUCCCUUGAAGAAGGGAUGCGAUUUCAGGGAAGCGUAACCAUCAGGGCCGGCACCUGGUCUUCUGCUGGGGUCAGUAUCCUUUCAUGAACGGGAAAGUUGCAACAUGCAGAGAAGAUGGUGUUUAAACUGAAAGGAAGCUAUGGAUGAGUUGCAGAUUACCAGCAACCGGUCAAUGAGAUCGCUAGCAGCUUCCGAAAAAUAGUUUGGAAAUCUGAUGUCUCUGGCAAUGAUCUUUUGAAAAAUUAGCCAUUCACUUGCAUCUUUAAAGGGAGAACUGCCAGAAAGCAUCUGGUACAAGGUGCAGCCAAGUGCCCAGAGAUCGUUGCUGUUUAAAUUUGUUCAAAUAUGUUAACCAACAGAGUUGAAAUAUGAAACCAUCUGGCCUUUUCAUUCGUUUGUUUUACUUAUCUUUUUAAGAGCCAUCAAGGACAAUUACCCAAAGGUUGCUGGAGAGGAAUUUAGAACUUCUGGGGGGACAUAAGCAGCUGUUCCCACAAAGGUGCAUGCUUUGUCAUCUGAAAGGGCAUCAAGGACAACGGCUUAAUGCAUUCAUGUAGUGAUAUGUUCUUCACUUCAUUAUGACAAGCUCACCUGACGCUGCGUUAGGGAGGAUUGUAACGCGGCUGCCCUGCAUAGGCUUCACACUACCAAAAUCAGCAAUUUUGAUAUGUCCUUCCGCAGUGAGUAGCAGGUUCUCUGGCUGCCAUUCAAGACACUAUUAGCAUGCAUUUCCCUUGUGGCCAACAGCCAGUGCAUCAAUGGCGUGAAUUACCUUGAUAUCCCGAUGUAUCAAUCCCAUACCAUGUAUGUACUCCAGAGCAUCGAUAACUUCAGCUGCAUAGAACCGAGCUUCAUCCUCUGAUAGACGGCCUUUCUGCAUACAAGACAAUGGUAAAGAAAUUUGCAUUUUUUCAGUGAUUUUACAUUGGUAGAGAAGAAGGACAAGAGUGUCACAACAUUUCUUAGAUGCCCUUACUCUGGUUAUUUGAUCAAACAGUUCUCCACCUUCACAAGACUCGAGCGCCAUGUCUGAAAGUGUAAUCAGAGGUACCAAUCAUGAUCAUAGUAUUGACAAAGAGAAAGACACAUUCUGUGUGAAUCUGGAGGUAAUGAAACUUCAACUACACCUUGACCAAGAGUACGUACACAGGGAAAACGUAUCUUGAAAUGUGAAGAAGAGCCUCACAAUGCCAGGAUGGUCCAACUGGUCGAUUACAAUGCGCUCCAGCUUGACGUAAGCAGUUUUGUUUUCUUUGGUGAUGAAUUUCUUGUCCAUGAUCUUCAAGGCGUAUACAGUUCCUGUAUCUUUCUUCCUUGCUUGCACAACCUGGUGAAUCGUAUGGCAGGCAAAUGUUGGGAAGACAAGUUAGGGAUGAAUGACGAAAGGCAUCCAUCCAAGAAGAGAAAAGCGAAAAACUCUAGACAUGCGAGGGAUGGAAAUGGGAGUUUGUGUUGCGAAAACAACACCCUGAUUGGAAGUUAUCACCUAUCAAGUACUCUCGUGAAACUGAUCCCCAUAUCAAGGAUGUCCCAGUAAUUUUUAGCAUCCUCUCUCUCUGAGUUAACAUGCUCUCUUUCUUUGGAUUCUUAUCUACUGCCAGUCCCAAGCCCGGACAUUGCAGAUUAAUUACAAUCAUUUGGCAUCAUCACCAACAAACACACUUGAAAGAUGAUCCUAAUCUCCAGUUUUGGCCCAUUGAUAGGCUGCCAUUUAUGAAUCUCCAUUAUUGGUUCUUGAAACCACCAAACAGAAUACAGAUAUCAGACAGAAUGUACGAAAAGCUAGCCAACACCCAAGAGAAAGCAUAGAGAUGACGGAAACCCAAUACCCACAAUGUUCCAAUGAUCAUAAAUCAGAUUAUUGCAACGAAUCAAAAGACCGAAAAGAACCCAGAAACGUUCAAAAGGAACCCAGAAUUCUGACCUUGGAAUAAGAACCAACGCCAUAGAUCUUGCCCAAU